This 3473-nucleotide long non-coding RNA is filed under the name Hordeum vulgare. Its description in RNAcentral is "long non-coding RNA (HVUL_LNC006121)". The stretch from base 802 to 922 matches the Rfam family "MIR1120/MIR1122 microRNA precursor family". Lineage: Eukaryota; Viridiplantae; Streptophyta; Magnoliopsida; Poales; Poaceae. The record is from RNAcentral.
CUGGGAUGUCAUAACGAAACUAGAUAUGUUUAAUUGAGCAGCGGAAGAAGGAAAACAGCCACAGCUCCGCGGCAAAGAAGGAAAUAUAGGCAGUGUACCAGGGGAUACAACUAAGCAUCACAUGCUUUGUCCAUGUCGCACAAAAUUACCGGACUGUGACUACCAAAAUUAGCUGAUAACACAAUACAACAAGCAACAUCAUCAAAAUCAACCCCAUUUCCUGGGGCUUCUGCUGCCACGACCCUUUGCUAUGGAGCAGAGGACGAACUAGGCGAUGAGCCUGGCCAGGUCGAUCUGUUUGCUCUCUGUCAGCAAUGCCAUGCUUCACUCCGGCCAUGACAAUGAAAAGAAUCAGCAUAGUAAAGUUUUACAAAGGUGUAAAAGGAUUACUAUGGUUUUUGCUCAACAUUGCAACAAAUGUUCUUUUCUUGAGAUCUACUGAUCUGCAUCAUAAGCCCUAUGAACAGUUCGAUUUUCUUAUAUGCAUCAGUAAAAGUAAUAGGCAUCAGGUUGCAAAAAUAAAGUUCUUUCAUUUCUAUGUUGCAUUGUCCAUGUGUUAAACAAGCAAAUCCCCAAGACUGGAACACUGCAUAAAUUACUUGGUUUGAAAUAGUACAGAAUCCCACACCAUCUACAGAAUCCCACAAAUAAAAAUACUUGGAUCGAAUCCCACAAAUAAAAAUACUUGGAUCGAAUCCCACACCAUCUACAGGAUCCCAUCCAUACGGUUCAACAAUGAAGGAUCGAAUCCCACAAAUAAAAAUGAAUGACUCAAGUUGAUGGUUUAAAGCACCAGCAUGUAUUAUACUCCCUCCGUCUCAAAAUUCUUGUCUUAGAAGGCAUCUAGUCACAUUUUAGUAUUUAGAUACAUUCAUCUCUAGACAAAGCUAAGACAAGAAUUUUGAGACGGAGGGAGUACAUAAUAAGGGAGGAAAACUUAAAUACAUUAUGAGUCUGUCCACCAUAGUACACAAGUUAUACUUGAUAAUAUUGUCUCAUUAUGAGCAGAUGGUUGAAACCCAUGCGAAGAUUUAUUCUACUGUUGCAUCUACUGGCGCAUGCAGAUGAUGACAAAUGCAAUUCAGAUGUUCAGCGCAAUACACGCAGGCGUAGCAGCAACAUGCCGAUUCAGAUCAAUUGUACUUGAACACAAAACAUUGGUCUUAAAGUCAAGAAACAGUUACCCUUACAGGACCAGUUUUUAACUAAAAUAAACAUCAGGUCUUGCGCAAGACUAGGCCACAAAACCCUGUGACAAGAUGACUAGGCAGAACCAUAAAUUAGACUGGGGAACACCCAGAGGCUACUUAGUAAACUGUAGUCGCAAGGGUAUGCACGACCAUAGAAUAGGUACUGAACUGUUUUUUCUUGCACUGGCUGACCAAGCUCAACCGCAACCCAAGAUUCAUAAGGUUCUUCAAGUAGCUUGGCAACCCUAGAUUCAGCAGGGUCUUCAAGUAGCUUGGCAGCAUAAAUGCAGUUACUCUUUCCUCCCCAUCUUUCCGGGCUCAUGCAGGAGAAUGUAGGAUUCCUCUUAUCAAGGCUAAUAAACAGGGCAUAAUUUUCCAACUUGUCCAUCUUCACAAACUUAGCUGGCUCGACAGCAAGGUCAAGGCGGAAGACAUCGAAGGUGUGACUAUAUGUGCCGUGCCAAUGAAAAGAGGUUACUGAGAGGUCAACCAUGAGAAGCAUGUCAGCACAGGACACGAACCAUGGGUUAAUAGGAAAAAAGGGUUCCCACAUAAAUUCUAAUUCUUGCACGCUGAACUGAGGUGUAAAGUGUACAGUGUGGAUCCUCAUACGAUAAUCGAUGACAAAGAUAUCACCUUUGAAGAUCACAAUCUGACGAAUAUCUUCAUGACCGAGAGCAAGAGGGUGCUCUGACCAGCAGUCUGUUCCAACCUGCCACUCAAGCAUGGAAGAUUCCGAGCAAAGGAGUAGGCGAGAGUUGGGUGAAUUGAGUGGGGCCGUAAGGACAUCUAUGCCAUGAAAGCACCAAAGAUUGUUGUUGCGUGGGAUUUUGGGGGGCUUCACCUUGGUACCGGUGUAAACAUCAAUGAGGAAGCAGUGCUCCGCGUAUGAGAAGAUAAGAUAUCCAUAUGAGCAGCCCAAAUAUCGCAUUGUAUCUGGAGUAUUUUGAGGCACCGAACACGCAAGAGAUGAGUUUUUCUUGCUUGGAUCACUGAGCUGCCACUUCCAAUUAGAUAAAAGGGUGGGCUUGAUACCGUUGCAAUGUGGACUAACAUGAGGACCAUCUGGUUUGAAGUGGAGUGGUGGGAAGCCCAAGGUAUACACAGAGGGAACUGUAGAGACCGCAGCGCGCCAAGAAUGGCAGGUGCCGAUGAAAGCAAGGAAGUCAUGGAAUGAGUUGAAGAGAGCAAUAAUUUCAUGAAGCAGGUUGUCCAGGAGAUCUGCACAAACAUAAGGUCCAGACAAAGGCGAGGAGGUAGAGGUGGAGGCACGGCAGAUGUUCUUAGAGUACCUCUCCACAGCGGCAGCUUCCCUGGCACAUAGAAAUUCAACAACAAUGAAUCUAAAUAAAGGACUGAAAAAAUAAUAGAUUUAAUAUUUCACGAGUUAAUACAGUAGAAGAAACGCCGUAGGCUCUAACUGAACAAUAAGGCAAACAGCAGUGUCAACUGGUACAUGCAAAAUUCAACCAGAACAAGCUAUGUGAGAAGCACCCACGGCUUGAUUGUUUUCCACAAUAGCACAACUAGAAUCCUUUUGGUGUCCCAUCCGUAUGUACAAUUUUUUUUUUCACUUUAAAGUCAUGCCAUCCGUAUGCACAUCCGCCCGGUAAACUAAAUCACACAAUGCGGCGAAUAAAAAUUUCCAUUACAUUAAAAGUGACAUAAUCCCCUCCCCUCCCCUCCCCUGUUCAUGUGGAAAACUCUAGAAAAAAAAGUUUUUUCCUUGCCAACAACCAGGAUGGCCACAAAAGCGUCCAUCUAAAUCACAUUUGACAUAAAGUUUCACUUAAUCAGUAAACAAAGUAGAGGUGUGCUUCGGUAGACCAACCCUCCCCCCCAAAAAAAAAACCGUAGAAGGGGAAACGUAUACCCAACUCAUAUUGUACAUUACAAGCCACUAAUGGUCGAUUGAUUGAUGCGCGGGAGGAUCUGGUCAACUCUCUUCUUAUGGUAGCUUUGGAUCCGUCCCCGUCCGCUCAGGAUAUAAACAAGAAGUGGGUAAAAAAGAGAGAGGAGCAAGUUUAGGGUGCAGACCUGGAGCUGAGGUGGCUUCUGCCGGCGGCGAGCCCGCUCUAACGUCGCGGCGGCGGCGGCUUCCGGCCAUGUCAGCGCAGCAGAGCCAGUCUACCCUAGUACCAGUUCUCGGCGUGGGGAGUGGGGAGGAUGGCUCGGCCUGCAGGAAAAUGAAAAUAAGGUUGGUAGGGCCGUGCGCCCACUGCCCGCGUCGGCCCACUUUCUGACUAUGGAAAUGCAACACCUCUCUCUCAAAAAAGAAAAUAG